AGUGAACGCUGGCGGUAGGCCUAACACAUGCAAGUCGAACGGCAGCACAGUAAGAGCUUGCUCUUACGGGUGGCGAGUGGCGGACGGGUGAGGAAUACAUCGGAAUCUACUUUUUCGUGGGGGAUAACGUAGGGAAACUUACGCUAAUACCGCAUACGACCUACGGGUGAAAGCAGGGGAUCUUCGGACCUUGCGCGAUUGAAUGAGCCGAUGUCGGAUUAGCUAGUUGGCGGGGUAAAGGCCCACCAAGGCGACGAUCCGUAGCUGGUCUGAGAGGAUGAUCAGCCACCCUGGAACUGAGACACGGUCCAGACUCCUACGGGAGGCAGCAGUGGGGAAUAUUGGACAAUGGGCGCAAACCUGAUCCAGCCAUACCGCGUGGGUGAAGAAGGCCUUCGGGUUGUAAAGCCCUUUUGUUGGGAAAGAAAAGCAGCAGGUUAAUACCCCGCUGUUCUGACGGUACCCAAAGAAUAAGCACCGGCUAACUUCGUG
RNAcentral lists this ribosomal RNA (492 nucleotides) under uncultured bacterium. RNAcentral describes it as "partial 16S ribosomal RNA". It matches the Rfam family "Bacterial small subunit ribosomal RNA", at positions 29 to 507 of the family's 1533-position model. The record is from RNAcentral.